Molecule: unclassified non-coding RNA, 240 nt
Filed under: soil metagenome
Description: partial contains 5.8S ribosomal RNA, internal transcribed spacer 2, and large subunit ribosomal RNA
Source: RNAcentral
AACUGAUACUACCUGCGGGAACCUGCGGAGGGAUCAUUACCGAGUUAGGGUAGUCACUCACUGCCCGACCUCCCAACCCUGUGUCUACCACACUUUGUCGUUGCUUCGGCGGACCGGUUGACCAACUGGUCGUGACCGCCGGGGGCUGGCUCUGUCCCCCCUGGAGAGCGUCCGUCGAUGGCCCAACCACAAAACUCUUGUACCGAGACGUGUCGUCUGAAUUAUAUUUGAGAAAUCAAA